This 514-nucleotide ribosomal RNA is filed under the name uncultured bacterium. Its description in RNAcentral is "bacterial SSU rRNA". It matches the Rfam family "Bacterial small subunit ribosomal RNA", at positions 996 to 1509 of the family's 1533-position model. The record is from RNAcentral.
CUUAGCAGAGAUGCUUUGGUGCCUUCGGGAACUCUGAGACAGGUGCUGCAUGGCUGUCGUCAGCUCGUGUUGUGAAAUGUUGGGUUAAGUCCCGCAACGAGCGCAACCCUUUAUCCUUUGUUGCCAGCGGUUAGGCCGGGAACUCAAAGGAGACUGCCAGUGAUAAACUGGAGGAAGGUGGGGAUGACGUCAAGUCAUCAUGGCCCUUACGAGUAGGGCUACACACGUGCUACAAUGGCGCAUACAAAGAGAAGCGACCUCGCGAGAGCAAGCGGACCUCAUAAAGUGCGUCGUAGUCCGGAUUGGAGUCUGCAACUCGACUCCAUGAAGUCGGAAUCGCUAGUAAUCGUGGAUCAGAAUGCCACGGUGAAUACGUUCCCGGGCCUUGUACACACCGCCCGUCACACCAUGGGAGUGGGUUGCAAAAGAAGUAGGUAGCUUAACCUUCGGGAGGGCGCUUACCACUUUGUGAUUCAUGACUGGGGUGAAGUCGUAACAAGGUAGGCGUAGUGCU